This 274-nucleotide ribosomal RNA is filed under the name uncultured bacterium. RNAcentral's name for it is "partial 16S ribosomal RNA". It matches the Rfam family "Bacterial small subunit ribosomal RNA", at positions 523 to 796 of the family's 1533-position model. The record is from RNAcentral.
AUACGGAGGGUGCAAGCGUUAUCCGGAUUCAUUGGGUUUAAAGGGUUCGCAGGCGGCGUAUUAAGUCAGUGGUGAAAUCCCGAGGCUCAACCUCGGAACUGCCAUUGAUACUGGUAUGCUAGAGUAUAGUUGGCGUUGGCGGAAUGUAUCAUGUAGCGGUGAAAUGCUUAGAUAUGAUACAGAACACCGAUCGCGAAGGCAGCUAACGAAACUAUAACUGACGCUCAGGAACGAAAGCGUGGGGAGCGAACAGGAUUAGAAACCCCGGUAGUCC